AGUGGAUGGAACUGGAACUCUUCCUUCCUUCUUCUCUCCACUAUCCUCUCCUGAUAUCCCUCUCUCCUUCUUUCUCUACUUCCCUUCUCUCCCACAGGCGGAGUUCACAGCUCUAUACGGGGACGGGGCCCUGGAGGAGGCACGGCGUCUGCGGGAGGGGAACUGGGCAUCAGUGAGGACAGUGCUGACGGGGGCUGUGGCACUGGGGGCCCUGGUAACUGUAGGGGCCUUUUUUGCUAGCAAGUGAGAAAGUCUAGGGUCAGGUGGGGCUAGGUGUGGCUAGGGGCCAGGAGAGCUGGAACAAUAGAGAAUGCCCUUGGAAGAAACUGGAUGGUCACGGAACAGAGGAAGGCAGAGGAAGGUAGUGUGUGUGGGAG
This 377-nucleotide long non-coding RNA is filed under the name Rattus norvegicus (Norway rat). RNAcentral's name for it is "long non-coding RNA NONRATT010410". Lineage: Eukaryota; Metazoa; Chordata; Mammalia; Rodentia; Muridae. The record is from RNAcentral.